UACGUAGGGUGCGAGCGUUAAUCGGAAUUACUGGGCGUAAAGCGUGCGCAGGCGGUCUGUUAAGACCGAUGUGAAAUCCCCGGGCUUAACCUGGGAACUGCAUUGGUGACUGGCAGGCUUUGAGUGUGGCAGAGGGAGGUAGAAUUCCACGUGUAGCAGUGAAAUGCGUCGAGAUGUGGAGGAAUACCGAUGGCGAAGGCAGCCUCCUGGGCCAACACUGACGCUCAUGCACGAAAGCGUGGGGAGCAAACAGG
RNAcentral lists this ribosomal RNA (254 nucleotides) under uncultured bacterium. RNAcentral describes it as "partial 16S ribosomal RNA". It matches the Rfam family "Bacterial small subunit ribosomal RNA", at positions 524 to 776 of the family's 1533-position model. The record is from RNAcentral.